UACAGAGGGGGCAAGCGUUAUUCGGAAUUAUUGGGCGUAAAGGGCGCGUAGGCGGCCUGGCAAGUGGAAGGUGAAAUCCCUCGGCUUAACCGAGGAACUGCCCUCCAAACUGCUUGGCUUGAGUCCGGGAGAGGUGAGUGGAAUUCCCCAGUGUAGCGGUGAAAUGCGUAGAUAUUGGGAGGAACACCAGUGGCGAAGGCGGCUCACUGGACCGGAACUGACGCUGAGGCGCGAAAGCGUGGGGGAGCAAACGGGG
RNAcentral lists this ribosomal RNA (256 nucleotides) under uncultured bacterium. Its description in RNAcentral is "partial 16S ribosomal RNA". It matches the Rfam family "Bacterial small subunit ribosomal RNA", at positions 524 to 777 of the family's 1533-position model. The record is from RNAcentral.